CCACAUCAGUAGGUAGUGGUAAUACGCGUGUGUUUGCCAACUGCCGAUAACAUCAAUAACAACGAAGAAGAAAAAGACGAAGAAGAAAAGGAAGAACCAGAAGAAUAAGGAGAAAACGCCAGUUCUGCUAUGAAUAAUUUGUAGAAUUAUAAUUCUAAUAUGAAUUAGAAUUAUAAUAUGUCUCUUGCGGCUAUGGCAUGGAGGGCUUAGAGUAACUGUUUAACAAGAAGGAAUAACACUUGAACCCCUACGUUUUUAUACCAGCUAAAAAUUAUAUUUUCAAAAAUAAAAUGUUUAGCUCAAGUAGCAUUAGCCAGCUAGCCAGGAAAACGAAAGCGGAAAUGUUGGUGGGAUUUCUCUCUUUCACCAACGAUGACUGGUUUUCAAUUUGGUUUUGAAUGCGGUGCGCGGUGAACUGCAUGGUUGUAACCAUCUGCAUGAGUUUAAGUUUAAAUAGGUUUUUCGUUUAAAUAUUUUGGUUGUAGGACUUUUACGUAAUAUGAAUCGUGAUAUAUUUAUGUCUAUUGUUUCUUUUGCAACGAGAAUAAGCGGUGGGAGACAAGAGAUUACUGUUAGCUGACUACUAACUAAACCUGGUAACAUUAAGGUUGGUUUGGUUUUUAACUUUUUAUCUUAAUAUUAGCCAGUUUAACUAUGUUGUAUACACAUCAAUAACUUUGGUUAUAACCCAUCUAGUCAGUUCUGUGUGGGAUUAAGCGUUUAUAGUGUUUGUUAGCUUUUGUGUUACAGCGUCAGAGGCGUUUGUUUAGCAACUGUUUGACAUGUAGGUCCAGCUGAGCCCGAACCCGCAUAGGGAUGAAUUCCGGGAGGCUCCAAGUCAAAAUAAAACGAGUUUGCGCAAGAAAAAGGUCACGGGACUUUUUAAAGACGCACCUGACACCUGCCCGAAAGAUAGGAGGGGGUGUUGGAUCACCGCGAUGUCCCCCCAACAGGACGAUCGACGCCACCAUGACUGACAAUCCAGCUGUGGAGUACUGCAGCGAUAGCGAGGAUUUGUUCGGUGACUAUGACAGCAUCCUGGAGGACAGCUCUCUACUGGCGAAGCUGGACGAUGCCGAAGAAAAUGAAAGACGGCGAGCUGCCAACGAGCAGAACUUUACAGCUCUGCAACCGCCAAAGGAUAUUGUCUGGAAACGAUCCUGUGAGGAUUCGCUCACUAACUCCAUCCUGGACGAGCUCAGAGAUGAGCCCUUUAAGGACUUACCGUGCAGCCAGCUGCAGUUUCAAGAACAAAUCCAAGAACAAUCAAAGAGGAGCAGACUGCAGGAUGGAGACAAAACAUCCACACCUUUGCAAAGUGCCAAAAGGACAACUGAAGUCAGACCAAAGACAGACAUGGAGGAUGAAACCAGGAGAGACAGCAGAGCUCGGAGGAGCGUAGCUGACCAGCUGAAGAAGACGAUGUUGGGGAAUGCAGCAGCUCCUGCCACCAUUUCACGGACUGCAGUGCUGAAAGAAGCAGUGGUUUCUGAGGAAAUAAGUGUCGCCAUGCAGGCCAUGGAGACGAUAUCUGCCGAGACGCCCGACCUGGGGCCGUUCUUCGGACUGCCCAGCAAAGUAAAGGAGCUUAUGUACAAACUGAGAGGAAUCCAGAAGUUAUACGACUGGCAGGAGACGUGCUUGAACUUGGACUGCAUUCAGCAGAGGAAGAACCUAAUCUACUCUCUCCCCACCAGCGGAGGGAAGACUCUGGUGGCAGAGAUCCUCAUCCUCAGAGAGCUGCUGUGCAGGAAGAAGGACUGUCUGUUCAUCUUACCAUACAUAUCUCUGGUGCAGGAGAAGGUGCGUGGGUUGGCGAGCUUUGGCCUGGAGCUGGACUUCAUGGUGGAGGAGUACGCCGGCAGCAAGGGCAAGUUUCCUCCAGUGAAGAGAAAAAGCAAAACAUCCCUGUACGUCGCCACGAUAGAGAAAGCCCACAGCCUCGUCAACUCCCUGAUAGAGACCGGCAGGCUGGAUAACCUGGGGCUGGUGGUGGUGGAUGAGCUUCACAUGCUGGGUGACGGCAGCAGAGGGGCUGUGAUUGAAAUGACUCUGGCCAAAGUUCAGUACAUGAGCAAGACGGCUCAGAUUAUUGGAAUGAGCGCCACUUUGGGAAACAUUAAGGACCUGCAGACGUUUCUGAGGGCAGAAAAUUACACAAACGACUUCAGGCCUGUUCAGUUGAAAGAAUUUGUUAAACUCAACGACACCAUUUGUGAAGUCGACACAAAGGAGGAGAGCUGCUUCAGAUUCUCACGUCUGCUCAACUUUAAAUACUCCAGCGCGAUGCAGAAGAUCGACCCAGAUCACAUCAUCGCUCUGGUGACUGAAAUCAUCCCAACACACUCCUGCCUGGUCUUCUGUCCCACCAAGAAGAACUGUGAGAAUGUAGCAGGGAUGAUCUGCAAAUACUUGAAGAACGAGUUCCUGCAACACCGUGAGGCUGAGAAGGCUGUCCUCCUCAGAGAGCUGAGGGACAGCGGAAACGGCUCAGUGUGUCCGGUCCUUAGGAGGACCGUGCAUUACGGCGUGGCCUACCACCACAGUGGACUGACCUCCGAAGAGAGGAAACUGGUGGAGGAGGCCUACUCCAACGGUGUGCUCUGCCUCCUUACAUGCACCUCCACCCUGGCUGCAGGGAUUAACCUUCCUGCCCGCAGGGUGAUCCUACGCUCGCCAUACAUCGCAACUGACUUCCUGAAGAGGAGCCAGUACAAGCAGAUGGUGGGGCGGGCCGGUCGAGCCGGGAUCGACACUGUGGGGGAGAGCAUCCUCAUCCUGCAGGAGAAGGACAGGAACAUGGCCAAAGCUCUAGUGUGCGCUCCAAUGGAAAACUGCUACAGCAACCUGAUGCAGGAUGAUGGAAAAGGCAUCCUGAGUCUCAUCCUCUCUCUAAUUGGAUUGAAUAUCACCACGUCACUGCAGCAGAUUCAGGACUUCCUGCGCGGGACCCUGCUGUUUGUGCAGCAGCAGCAGCUGUGUGUGGACAGGAGUUUGGGGGAUGUUGUGCAGCAGUGUGUCCACACGCUGAAGGAGAAAGACCUCAUCACCAUCAGAGAGACAGACUCUCCAAUGCUGCAGAUCACCAAGCUGGGGAGAGCCACUUACAAAGGAUCUGUGGAUCUGACCUACUGUGAUCUUCUAUACAAGGACUUGUGUAAAGGUCUGGAGGGUUUGCUGCUCAACAGUUACCUGCACCUGGUCUACCUGGUGACUCCGUAUGACCUCAUCGCUCAGUGCAAACCUGACUGGAUGAUCUACUUCAGACAGUUCACCCUGCUGUCCGCCACAGAGCAGAAGAUGUCUGCAGUCGUUGGAGUUCCUGAAAGUUUUGUGGCAAGAAAAGCAGCAGGGCAAACGGUGAAAAAGGAUGUGAACCUGGUGGUGGUGAACAGGAUGUACCUCGCUCUGGUUCUCUUCUCUCUGCUGAAGGAAACCAACGUUUGGACCGUGGCCGACCGCUUCCAGCUGAGCCGAGGUUUCGUCCAGACGCUGCUCAGCUCUGCCUCCGCCUUCUGCUCCUGCGUGAUGCAUUUCACCGAGUUAGUUCAUCUCAGCUGUGUCUGUUCAGGAGCUGGAGGAGUUAUGGCCAUUCAAAGCUCUGCUCACGGAGUUGACGCGGCGUCUCAGUUACUGCGUGAAGGCGGAGCUGAUUCCUCUGAUGGAGGUUGCCGGAGUCACAGAGGUGAGGGCUAAGCAGCUGUACAACGCCGGUUACAAGACGCCAACUCACCUGGCUAACGCCGACCCCGCCGUCCUCUGCAGGAUGAUAGAGAACCUCUACAAGAAACAAGCCAACCUCAUGGUGGCCUCGGCCAAAAUGCUUGUGAAGGA
Melanotaenia boesemani (Boeseman's rainbowfish) is the source of this 3834-nucleotide RNA transcript. It is a transcript of the gene named helicase, POLQ like, with no coding region annotated. The record is from RefSeq and is a predicted model, not a curated record. The transcript has 18 exons. Lineage: Eukaryota; Metazoa; Chordata; Actinopteri; Atheriniformes; Melanotaeniidae.